UGAACUGUCACUGGCACAUUUGCUCUACCAUUUUGACUGGAAACUCCCAAAUGGAAUGAAGGCAUAGGAUCUAGACAUGACUGAAGCAUUAGGUCUAGUAGUUCGCAGAAAACAAGAUCUGCACUUAAUUCCCAUUUUGGAUAAUCCAUUGCAUGCUCAGUAAUACUACCCAGAAGAAGCAUUAGAUUGAUGGAUGAUUCUUAUUUGGAUUACGGCUUUAUGUAUCAUCUUAAACAAUGUUAUCUAUUUCUACUAUAUAUUGUAAUUAAUGCAAUACAAGUUGCUACCAUAUAAUAAAAAUUUAACCUCACAUCGCUUGAGAUGCCUUAUAGAGAGGCCAACUUAGCAAGCUUGGAUUGAACCUCGUGCAACCUAUCCAAUUAAGGUUAGGCUUAUGCAGGUAUAUAACCCGAUGUAAGUAAUACUUACCUUCUUGUUAUUUUUUUCAAAAAGCUACCUGUUAGCUUGCAGGAGUUCUCAACUUGAGUUGGUGAAGCUCCAAUUCAAGGGUUGAGUACCUAGUACAAUUGUUGUCCAUGAGUCUACUAUAAAAUUAGCAUAUGAUACAUUCAAGUGAAAAUCCUGCAGUUGUCAGGAACUGGAAAAUCCUUCCAACACCCUCUCUGAUAUCUCACUCUAUUUACAUAUCACUGUCUCCAGAAGUAGAAGUACCAAGUGUUGACAGAAGAAAGGAAUCUUAUAAGAAGAUUAAUGAAGUUGCAAUGGUAGUGGUACAAUGUUACACCAGUGAACCAACGAGUCAAUGUCGAGGUUUUCAAUAUGAAGUUUGGCAGUUGCCUUGAUUCAAGAUUCUUUGCUUCCAAAUAUCUAAACCAUACAAUUCAUGCUAACAACCAAAAUUUCUAGUUCUUCAACUUUUAUGACUCAUUGUGUUUGACCCAAUUGAAGAUGACAAAGAGGUACCACAAAGGAGAUGAUCCUAUUUCAUACAUCAAAUGCCUUAAUUUUUUGUUUUGUGCACACAUGAUCAUCAUAAAAUCCCAACAAUUUACACAACCUAAGCUAUCUAACCUCACAUCACUUGAGAUGCCCUAUAGAGAAACCAACUCAGCAAGCUUGGAUUGAAUGAACCUCAGGCAGCCUAUCCAACCCUUAAGGUCAGGCUUAUGCAGGAAUAUAGCCCUAACCCUUCCAAGUUAUGGCACUAAUUAGGCCACAAACGUAAUUAAGCAGCAUUUUUUAUUGUCAUAAGAAAUAUUUACCUUCUCCUAUAUUCUUUCAGAUUAAAUGUCUUAUAACUGUUCAAACAUUAAAAACAUUAAAAACUAUUCAUUCAUACAACAUUUUUUAAUUUAUUCCAAAAUUACCCUCAAACCUUCGUAUAACAACCUACCACCUAUCACCUUUUUUUUUCUUUUACAUCAAUUCUCUCACACGUUAAUCCUCUGGUGUCAAUUACCACCCUUACAUUCUCCUGCUCUCCCAUGUCAACUACCACCCUUACAUUCUCCCAUGUUAACUACCACCCUUCUUUAUGUUCUCCCAUGUCAACUACCACACUUAUAUUCUUCCAUGUCAACUACCACCCUUCCUUACAUUCUCCCAUGUUAACUACCACCCUUCCUUAUGUUCUCCCAUGUCAACUACCACACUUAUAUUCUUCCAUGUCAACUACCACCCUUCCUUACAUUCUCCCAUGUCAACUACCACCCUUUUUUUUUUCUUUCUCUCACCACCUUAUCCAUUACGUCUUAUAAUGAUUUAAAAUCGAUGGAAAUCCUUCACAAAAGGGUAAUCUUGUACACCCCUUGUAUAAUUAAUAUAACACCCUUGUAUAGUGGCAAAAAUUCCAUACACAUCAUGUUGAAUGAGCCGAAUGUGUUUUAUCCAUGCUUUCGUUCAUCUAGUUGGGAAAAGAAGGGAAAACUCGAAUAUGAAGUCCACUCUCCAAUCAUCAUUAGUGGAGUUAAUAUUCAAAUUAUCAUGUGUGAGUAUAGAAACAUGCACGAGAUGAGUGUGUGAUAAAGGAAUGUGUGUGAAAGAAGCAAGGGAGUGGAUCAAAAUCAAUUGAAAUCCUUCACAAAAAGAUAGCUUUGUACACCCCAUGUAUAGUUAAUGCAUCAACCUUGUACAAUUGGUGUAACACUCAUAUGUGGUGGAACAAAUUUCAUAUACCUCAUAGUGGAUGUGUGCUCAUAGAUGUGUUAAACAAGUUUCUAGUAGUUUGAUUGAGAAAAAGGCAAAAAACUCAAAUCCAAAUUUUUUUCCCCAAUAAUCAUUAGUGGGGUAGGUAUUCAAAUUAUUAUGUGUGAGUGUAGAGACAUGCAUGCGACGAGUGUAUGAUGAAGGAAUAUGUGUGAGGAGAAUGUCUAGUCCUUGGGUAAGGGAAAUAGGCAAGGGAGUGGAUUAGAACUAAUAUAAAUCCUUCACAAAAGACAAUUAGUGUAACACCCUUAUAUAGUGGCAUAAAUUCCAUUCAUCUCAUAGUGAAUGUAUGCACAUAGGUCUUAAAUCUGUUUCCAAUGGUUUGGUAGAAGCAAAGAUAAGGUAAGUUGAUUCUGAAGCAAACUCCCUAAAAAUGAUUAGUGGGGUACGUAUUUGAAUUGUCAUGUGUGAAUGUACAAAGGUGCAUGUAAUGAAUGUGUGAUCUAGGAAUAUGUGUGAAAUGUUUCCAAUCCUUGGGUAAGGGAAAUAAGAGUAAAGGAGUGAUUCACAAUCACUUGAAUUACUUCAUAAAUGGAACCUUAUACACUUCUUCUAUAGUUAGUUCAUUAGUCUUGUACAAUUACCAUAAUGCCUUUGCACAAUAAUACAAAUUCUAUAUAGUUAGUGUAAAUCUUUUGUGCAAUGGUAUAAAUUCCAUACAACUCAUAUUAAAUGUGUGUGCAUAAGUGUGUUAAUCAUGUUUCAUGUGGUUUGGUAGAAGAAAAGAGAAGACUAGUUGAUUUCAAAGUGAACUCCUCAAACAUAAUUAAUAGGAUAGGUAUUUGAGUUGCCCUAUGUGAGUGUACAAAUGUGCAUUAGUGCAUGCGAUGAGUAAAAUUAUUUAAAAUACGUAAAAGAAAUUUUUAUAUUUACUAUUGAUAUUAUAGAAUUAUAAUCUUAUUUCUUUUUUAUCAAUAAUAUCACAUAUUUAAAUUAGAAAGUAAUUUAUUUUAAUAGAUCAAAAUGUGCACAAUUAAUCUAUUACUUUAUUAAUUCUGGAUAUAUUAAAAUUUUCCUAUUAACAAAAAGAACUAAUAGAGAAAAUAAAAUAAAAAAUAUUAAUAUAUAUAUAUAUAUAUAUAUAAUUUAGUUAUUUAAUUAUUUUUCAUGCAAAACAUAGUAAUACAAGAAAAAAAAAUACACAAUUGGCCAAUUCCUUUGUUUAAUUGUAAACAUACUAUUUUUUUAUUAAAAUAACUAAUGGAAAAAAUAAAAAAGAAUAAAUGGAAUUUAAUUCAUUUUAUUAUUUUCACUUAAAAAAUAAUACUAAAAAAGGUUUACAAUUUUCAUUUUUAAAGAUAGUUUUCAUUUUUUUUUAAUUAAACAUAUUUUCAAAAAGAGAAAAUAAAGAAAAUAAAAAUUAUUUUUAAAAAUAAAAACUAGAAAAAUGUUUUCAAACCAAACUCAAAAUUUUUUAACUUCUCAUUUUCAUCUAAAAUGAGCAAUUAUACCAUUCAACCCUUUUAUACAAAAAAAAAAAAAAAAAAAUCAAUCUCUACUAUGCUAUGUACCGGCACAAUCCACUUCUAAAAUUAGGUUAUACGAAAAUAUUUUAAUUGGAUAUUUAAAGUAAAAACUCUCUAUCCAACCUUUUUCUUUUUCUUAUUUUGAUAAAUUUUCAAUUAACUCAAAUCAUUAAAAAAAAAAUCCUUAGUAAACAAAUUUGCAACAUUUCAUAUAACUUAUCACUAGAAAUCUUGUUCAAAAAUUUAUUAAAACAAGGAACGACAAAGAUUAAAAGAAAUUAAACUUUUUAUUUUAGGAAUAGUAAAAAUAAAAAAAUACAAAAACUUUAAAAUGUUUUUUAGUAUAAAAGAAAAGAAAACAAUGAAUAUGUUGAUUUCAAAUAGUGUUUUAAUCAUUAAAUUAUUUACUUCUAAAUUGUAAAAGAUAAUUUUUAUUCAUUUAAAUUAACAUAUUUUUUUAGAAAGUAUUUUUCAAAAUAGUUUGUGAAUCAUUAAUGUAAUUUGUUUAUUUAUAAUUUAAAAAUAGAAAAUAAUGCUGAUUUUCAAUUAUUUAUAAAAGAGAUUUAAAAAGUAAUGAAAAAUCCAAAUAAUGAUUAAAAUAAGGGACAAUUGUGUUGGAGCUAACAUGUGAAGAGUGGUGCAAUAAAGACAAGAGAGUUUCAUAAAUAAUGGGUGCCACAAACAACAUAAGUUGUUAAUUUGGGACAAUUUUUAUAAUAUCUAAUGUGGUAGGUCUAAUGGGUAUUUUUGUCCAUUAUUAUUUCAUAUCCUUACUAUCAAUUAUGGGUUAUAUGAGGUUAGGUCAAUUUUCAAGCCCAUCUCACCUCAAAGCGUAAUUCUCCCUAACAAUUAAUGAAAUGAAUAACUUGUGGCUAAGAUCAUGGUGUCACAAAUGAAAAUAAAUAAAUAAUAUUAAUAAUAAUUUAUUAAAUGUAAUCAAGGACGAAAAUAUUGAGAUAUAUCGGCGAUAUAUCGAUAAAUCAUGUAUCAGAAGCCUUCGACAAGAUAUUACAAGCUAAUAUAUCGAGGAGAAAAAUCGUUGAAAAUCACCAAAAUAUCACCGAUAUAUCUGUUGGUGGCGAUAAAUUGACAAAAUUUUCAAUUAAUUGGCUAAGGCGGUAGAAAAUCGUUAAUAUUUCGAUGAUAAAUCACUGAUUUUUUUAGAAAAAUCUCCAUCCACAUAUAAGCAUGAUCCAACGGCCCAGAUCACACCCAAGUGCAAUGGUCAUAUGCCCUAUCCAUCUGACCGCCCGAAUUGAAUCUAUGUUUGAUCCAACGGUUAAGAUCACAUUCCAACGGCUAUUUGAUGAUCCGAUGAUUAGAUUUCGCCCAAAUUUUGAUCCAACGGCCAGAAAUGUUUUUCAACGGUAAAAUGAUAUUUCAAUAACUAUUUUGGCCCAAAAUUUUCUUAUAAAUAACUCAUUUUGCAUCCAUUUGAUCCACAUUUCAUUGUAUUCUUCAUUUGAUUUUUCAUUGCUCAUAAUUUUUAUUAUUAUUAUUCUCAAAUUAUUAUAAAUUUGGGAAAUUUUUAAGGUUACACAUUUAUUCAAUUAUUCUAAAGUAUGUUUGUUUUAAAUUUUAAUUAAUUUUGUUUUCAAUUGUAAUUAAUUAAUGUAUUUUCAAUUAAUUAGUAUAUUUGCAAUAUGGAUGAUUUAAUGUUAUUUUUAUGUUCAAUUGUAAUUAAUUUGUAUAUUUCCAAUGAAUUAACUUAGUUUAAUUUGAUUAUUUAAUUUUAGAUGAAUGUGUUUAUUUUAGAUGAUUAUUUAAUUUUAAUUUCACAUUCAAUUAUAGUUAAUUAGUAUAUUUCGUAGAUUUUUCCAUAGAUUUAGAUUUAUUAAAUUAACUUAGCUAAAUUAUUUAAUUAACAUAAAUUAGUAUAUUUGGAAUAUGUUCAUUUUAAAUGAUUAUUUAAUUUUAUUUUCACAUUAAAUUAUAGUUAAUUAGUAUAUUUUGUAGAUUUCCCGUAGAUUUAGAUCUAGUAAAUAAACUUAGCUAAAUUAUUUAGUAAAUUUUCCAUAGAUUUAGAUUUAAAUUUAGUAGCUAAAUUAUUUAAUUAAUUUAAUUAACAUAAAUUACUAUAUUUGGAAUAUGUUCAUUCUACAUGAUUAGUUAAUUUUAUUUUCACAUUCAAUUGCAACAUGUUAAUUUUAAAUGAUUACUUAAUUUUAUUUUUACAUUCAAAUCACAUUCAAUUGUAUUUUUUUGCAAUAGAUUUAGAAUGGCUAGUGGAAGUGGAGGUAGUGGGACUCCCAUGUCAAGGCGAGAUCUAGCUUGAAAGCAUGAUCACUAGUACAAGGGAACAUAAUGGGACAAUUUGUAAUUAUUAUGGACUGUUGAUGAAAAGUGGAGGCAACACGUGAUUCAAGUUUCAUUCAGUGCAUAAAGACCUGCAUAACAACACCAAAAAGUAUCCUAGAGUACCUCUUGAACCGAAAGAAGAGAUACGAAAUAUGGUGCUUGAAAAAACUAAAGCAAAAGCAAGUAAAGUUGCAAAUAUUCAAGAGAUUCGUGCCCAAUUACGUGGCAUAAUGGGGGCCAAUCAUGCACCUCAUAGACGAGGAUGAUGAUGAUGAAGAUGUGUAUAUGUAUCCAACAAAUAUGCACCCAGAUGAGCGGGAUGCAUAUUGAUUUGCAGUUCAUGCCUUGAAAGCGACAGAAUGGGAGCGACAAAAAUAUGAGAACAUUGUAGGAAGUAAAUGUAAAACAGGGGAGUUUUCACAUCCUAAUGGUACAUCGACGAUGAUGCGAAAAUCACAAAGUAUGCGACAUUCGAACCAAUCACUACUUAUUCCCCCCUCACUCUACAAGUCUUCUGCAGCAAGACGAAAAAAAUAUCAAAGAUAUAUUCAAGGGUGGUUCAAUUAAAAAAACGACAAGACGUUUAGUAAGCAAAUUCUUCAUUUUUAAGAGCAUCGCACCCUAAAAAGCAAACUCUCAUCACUUCAAGAAUAUGAUUAUUGGUACACAACAAGCAAGUAAUUACUAAUUUUUUAUUUGUUAUAUCGUUUUAGACUUUUGGUACGUAUAGUCUUUUGUGACAUGUUUUAAACAUUUCUUAUAGAUGAAUUGUAGGAAUGAGAAUUGAACCUUCAUCUCCAUAUGAAAUAAAGAACAAGUAAUUGGAAAUGGGGGACAAAGAAAUGGAAGCUUAUGUGAACUAGCACAAAGAAAAGUGGAAGACAUAUGGGUGCAUGAUAGUGUCAAAUGGAUGGACAGGGCCCACAAAAUUAAGUAUUAUUAAUUUCAUGGUCUAUGUAAAAGGGACCACAGUGUUCCUUAAGUUAGUCGAUGCAUCAAAUAAUAUCAAAGACCACAAGUAUAUAUACAAGCUAUUGAAGAGUGUUAUCAAAGAAAUCAGGCAAGAAAAUGUGGUCCAAAUUGUCAUGGAUAACAGUUAGGUGUUUGUGAAAGCAAGAAAGCUAUUGAUGAAGAAGUUUAACUUAUAUUGGACUCUGUGUGUGAUGCACUGCAUUGACUUAAUCUUUGAAGACAUCGACAAAAGACCCAAUGUUACAGAUAUGAUAAACAAUGCCCGCAAGAUAACCAACUUCAUUUACAACCAUGGUUGAUUACUUGCACAAAUGAGAAAGUAUUGUGGUGGAGAUAUUUUGUGACUGGGAGCUACAAGGUUUGCUACCAAUUAUAUUGCUCUUGAUAGCCUUCUUAAAAAAAUAGUUGAUUUGAAAAAAUUGUUUAUGGGUGAUGAAUGGGCACAACACAAGCUCAAUCGAAGAAAAUUUGGCCGAGAUUCGGAGCAAUUAAUGUUUUACCAUUUAUAUUGGGAUAGAGUGACAAAUGUAGUUUCAUUAUAUGAGCCACUAUACGUGGUGCUUUGACUAAUGGAUUUUGAAGUUGUUUCCACAAUGUUGUUUGUGUAUGAGCUUAUGCACAUGAUGAGAGAGAAACUCAUUCGUCAAGGAGUUGGAGAUUGGAUCUUCAAAAUAAUAAAAGAUCGUUGAGAGAAAACACUGAAACAUCCACUUCAUGCAACAUGUACUUAAGUACUGUCUAUCUUUAUAAGUUCUUACUCUUAAUUUAUUAAUUUUCUCUUACAAAAUACUAAAUCUACUUAAUUUUAUUGUAGCAUAUUUCUUGAAUCCAAGGUUUUAAUAUAGGUGUGGAGUUGGUAGUGAUCCAGAACUAUUUCAAGCGAUUUAUGAUGUUUUUACUAAAUUAGACCCAACUAUUGAAUCACUUGGUCAAUUUGGAAAUUAAAUAAAUAAAAAAAACUAUUAUUUUACUCAAUUUAAUAAAACAAUAAUUUCAUUCAUCAAUUUAUUUGAACGUUUAAUAACAAAUAUGAUAUUAACAAAUUAAAUGUUGAAUAUAUCACUUAUGCUUUUUCGAGAUGCAAAAAGAGGAUUCGGUGAUCGAGCGACGAUUGCAACAAGGUCAACCAUGGUGCCUAGUGAGUACUAUUUCUUAAUAGAUAAAAAUUUGAUUAUCAUUAUUGUAAAUUCACCAUAUAAGUAUUUAUAUAAUUAUUAAUUCGGUUACAACUAAAUGGUGGCACAUGUAUGGGAAUCAAAAACCUACAUUGAGGAAGUUGGUCAUCAAAGUUCUCUCAUAAACUACGUCAUUUUCUACUUGUGAGAGAAAUUGGAGCACGUUCACUCUCAUCCACACAAAGCAACGAAAUCAUUUGGCUUUACCCCAAUUGGAGCAAUUAGUUUUUUGUUACUAUAAUAUGAAGUUAAAGUUACACAAUAUGGAGACGGAAUGAUUGAGUUGUUAAGAAAGAUUACCUUGAUCUUCUUGACAUUUCAGCCAAGGUGGGUAAAGAAAAAAAUAAUCAGUUGUUCCAAGUUAGGCCUAUACACUUGGAUGAUGAAGUUCGAAAUCCUGAUCCACAAAUUGCCGCUCAUGCUUGAGAAUUUGGAGUUAAUGUUGUCCAAAGAAGUUCACUCUUAAAGUUUUAGCAAAGAUACUGAGGAUUCAUUUUACACCGCAUUGAAUUCCCACCAAGAGGUUGACUUCACAAGUGCUGGCCAAAGUAGUAGACUUAAUGCUACUGGUACUUUUGCUUCUGGUUGCCAUGGUUCAAGAGGUGGAACUGAUGAUAGAGGUGAUAAUAUGGGAGGAGAUAUUGGGGAACACCAACAAAGUCAAUAUCCAAUGAGCCAAUUUACCUAUGAAAAUGAUUUCACACACUACACACAGGAUGAAGACCGUGGCUUUAGAAGAGUUGGUCGAGGCAUAGGAGCUAUUGGGAAGCCCUAAAAAGGAAGAGAGCAGAUGAUGGCAUCAUAUAAUGAGGAGUUACUUUCAAGGAUUUUUGAAUCUAUGAGUAUAAGGACUCAAUUUAGUGACUCCUUGAAUGAGGCUAACGUCUAACCUCCUUAUGUGAUGAGUUAUGGUCAACCUUCAAGCUUAACCGAUGAAAAGUAUGGUAUGUCAAGCUACUCUCCUUAUGCACAAAUGUCAUACCAAGUUCCAUAUCAAAUGCAAGGAGGAUUUGACAUGAAUACAUGGGUCAACCUCGAGUAUCCUAUCUAUGUAGAGGCAGUGGGAAGAAUUCAAGAGAUAUAUGCAUGACAUGUUAGAAUUUUUAACCAAUAUUACUAAGGCUUAAUGAAUUGGUACCAAUAUUGUCUCCAACAGCAAGACGAUGUUCCUUCAUCUACCAAUUUCGUUAAACCAUAUUAGUCCUCAUUUUGGUACUAAAGGGUCAUUAUAAUGUAAUAUGUACAAAUUAUUGAUAUUUAAUGAAAUUAAGUCUUUCAUGUAUCUUUAUAAUGAGUGUACAAUUACAAAAUUCACAUUUCUUAUCGACUGACAUGAUAUAAUUACAUUUAAUAUCGCAAAUCAUAUCAUACAUAUAUCAAAUUCUUCAACAAAACAACUUUAAAAUGUCUAUUAUACUUCUAAUUACGUUGCUAUGAGGUUUUUCUUACAUUUUCAUGAUUUUUUUUUUUUUAUCAAUUUUAGGUCUACCAAAAUUUUUUUUCCGAAAUAUCCACUAAUAUAUCUUCAAUAUAUCUGAUAUAUCUAUAAAAUCGAAGUAUCAAUAUAUCUAUGAUUACCGAUAUUUUUAUCACUGGAUAUAAUUAUGAGAAGGUAAAAUAGAUUCUUAAAAGAGAGUAAUUACUAAUUUGAGAUAAUUAGUCAAUAACAAUCAUUAUUUAUGUUCAUGUUUAUGCUAGAAGUUGAUGAAGUCCUUGAUAAAUUUGAUUGAUUUUUUUGAGUUAAAGGUUAAUAGUGUAAUCGGUAAUUUUAUAAUUUUGUAUUUAUUUUUGUCUAUUUUUGAAGUAUAAAAAUAUUUAAAUUUUCUAAAGUGAAUCAAGUAAUAUUUUUUAAAAAUAUAUUCUAAUUUUUUCUUUAAUUAGAAAAUAAAUUGACAAUAUCUUAUGAUUUGUAUAAUUAUUCUACAAGUAAAUUUUGUCUUUUAAUUUAUUGUAAUGGUUUAAAAAACUUUGUUUAAUAGCCUUAGUAGAAAGGGGAUAAGUAAUCAACCUUUGUUACCCUUGAUGAUGUAGUGACACAAUGUAACCCCAACCAAUAAGGGUGUUAUUAGCCUUUGGUACCAUUUAUCGGAAAUCAUUCCAUCACCAUAAAUAUGGAACAACUUCAGGCUACUUACCUAAUUUAAGUCUCACUACUUUAACCUAAUGUUAUUAUCAAUGGAUCAUAAUAAAAUGCUUAUUUAUGAAGUUCUUUUAAAUAUGAAUUGAUUUCGGCAUUAUGCUAUUUUAUUUUUAAAUUAAAGUGUUUAAUUCUUCAAAGAAAGGGAAUUCAAUUAUUGAAUUAAAUGAAUGCUAAUUGACAUCUAUUAAAAAAAAAAUAUGAUUUCUUUUGGGAUUUAAUUUUGUAUUAUACUUAGUCCUUGUUAUUGAACUAUUUUUUUCUUACUAAAUUAUCAAUCUCACUCUUCUUUAUUAUUCAAAUUUUCAAGUUCAAAUGAUAUCAAUGAGGAGAAACUGAGAUAAAAAGGGUGUUUCUAUUAUAAACAAAUUUAGAAUUGAUUAUUGAGGAUUGUUGAUUUAGGACUACAUUCGGUUAUGAUUUCUAGCUAUUAUUUUUAUUUAACCAUUUUGGGAAAAUUGUUGAUUUUAUUGUUGAGUUAAUUAGUCUUGGAUUAGAAAUUUAUGACUUUUCAAUUAUGCUCUACUUAUUGUUUUGAAUCAAUUUGAGAUAGUUGUUGGAUAGCUACAUGUUGGAUUAUUUAGUUAAGGUCAUUCAUGUGUUUGGUUCUCAUAUUUGACAUGUAAAAUGAUCAUGAUACCCUUGACUCGAGGUUUGGGAUUCGGGGACUCAUAGAAACCCAUGACAUUUAUCUUCAUUGGUACUUUCCUCUCUUUUCCCAUGGAGUUCCCUCUUCUUUUGGCCUUUUUGCCUUUCUUCUCCUUUUUUGUAAAAAUAGGGAAUAGAUCCAAAGCCAACUUCUUAACUCAAAAGUCUCCCUUAAUGCUAGCGAAACUACCUCUAAUUGUGAACAUGCAUGAACCCAUUAUUAUUUUCAUAAUUAUUUGUUAAAGUGUGCAUAUUUUCUUCAUAAAAGUCAGUGAUCAGUUUUUUAGCACAUAUUUGAGAGUGAUAUAUAUAUAUAUAUAAAAGUUAAUUUCACUCACCUCCUCUUACACCUUACCUUAGUCGAUUUGAAAUUUCAUCAAAUAUCUUUUAUAUUUACAGUUAAAAUGGAAAUAAGUGAAAAUAACAAAUGAAAAUGAUAAGGAAAGUAUUUGACCAAAUUUCAAAUCAAUGAGGAUUAUGUAUGUUUAGUAAAAAUCUUAGAAAAAAUAAAUGAAAUUAACCCAAAAACUAUUCAUGAAUUGAACAAUGGGCAAACCCCAUCAAUCACCUCACUCAUGUGUAACAUCAUGCAUAGACAUGAGCCUCAUCUUCAUCCAUAAGAAGACAACCAAAGAGUGGUUGGCAGCCACAAUCACUUAUUUUUGCAAGUUGCCAACGGGCAUAAAUUGAAGGCAUCUCUACUAAGAAACCCAUCACAUUUAAUCUUCACAGCUACUUUCUUUCUCUUUCUGCUCAUGGACUUCCAAUUCUCUUCUAUCCUCUUUGCCUUUCUUCUCUUUCUGUACAUGCUGUACAAAAUGGGGGAGAGAUCCAAAGCCAGCAUCUCAACUCAAAAGCUGCCCCCAGGGCCAUGGAAACUACCUCUAAUUGGAAACAUGCAUCAGCUUGUUGGCUCUCUUCCUCACCAAUCCCUAAGUCGCUUGGCCAAGCAAUACGGGCCUCUCAUGAGCCUACAACUUGGUGAAGUUUCCACGCUCAUUAUUUCAUCACCAGACAUGGCCAAACAAGUUAUGAAAACCCAUGACAUCAAUUUUGCCCAAAGGCCUCCUCUUUUAGCUUCCAAGAUUUUAUCUUAUGAUUCUAUGGACAUUGUUUUUUCUCCGUAUGGCGACUAUUGGAGACAAUUGCGCAAAAUUUGUGUAGUUGAACUUCUAACUGCCAAGCGUGUCAAAUCCUUCCAAUUGGUUAGGGAAGAGGAGCUUUCAAAUCUCAUUACAGCGAUCGUUUCUUGUUCAAGGCCCAUUAAUCUUACUGAAAAUAUUUUCUCUAGCACUUUUUCUAUUAUAGCAAGAGCAGCUAUUGGUGAAAAAUUCGAAGGCCAAGAUGCAUUCUUAUCAGUUAUGAAGGAAAUCGUGGAGCUGUUUUCUGGUUUCUGUGUUGCUGAUAUGUAUCCUUCUGUCAAAUGGCUUGACCUGAUCAGUGGAAUGAGAUAUAAACUUGACAAGGUAUUUCAGAGGACUGAUAGGAUGCUCCAAAACAUUGUUGAUCAGCAUAGAGAGAAAUUGAAAACACAAGCAGGCAAGCUACAAGGGGAGGGAGAUCUAGUUGAUGUUCUUUUAGAGCUUCAACAACAUGGUGAUCUUGAAUUUCCCUUAACUGACAACAACAUCAAAGCAGUCAUACUGGUUAGUUACCCUACCUUUAAAUUCAAUUAUGCCAAAAUUUAGGUUUUUUCCCCCACAACAUUAAAUGGAAAAGUUAGGUGUGAUUAAUAUUUUCAACAAUCAACAAUCAACAAUCCACAAUCAACAAUCGUGAGCUAAAGUCUCAUACUGUAAAUGUUUGUGGUUCCUUUGAGUAUUGCAUAUACCCAGUGAGAUAUUAUACCAAUGGUUUUUUCUCAUCUUUGAUCUAUCCUCUUGCAGGACAUUUUCAGUGGUGGAGGCGAGACAACAUCCACUUCUUUAGACUGGGCAAUGUCAGAAAUGCUGGAAAACCCAAGAGUGAUGGAGAAGGCACAGGCUGAGGUGAGGCGGGUGUUUGAUGGAAAAGGGAAUGUGGAUGAAACUGGCCUUGACGAAUUAAAAUUCUUAAAAGCAGUAGUGAAAGAAACCUUGAGGCUACACCCUCCUCUUCCUCUACUAGUUCCAAGGGAAUGUAGGGAGAUGUGUGAAAUUAAUGGAUAUGAGAUACCCAAGAAGACUUCAAUCAUUGUUAAUGCAUGGGCCAUUGGCCGAGAUUCUGAUUAUUGGGUUGAAGCUGAGAGAUUUUACCCAGAGAGAUUCCUUGAUAGUUCAAUUGAUUACAAGGGUACUGAUUUUGGAUAUAUACCAUUUGGUGCUGGAAGAAGGAUGUGUCCUGGCAUAUUAUUUUCUAUGCCUAGCAUUGAACUGUCACUGGCCCAUUUGACCAUUUUGACUGGAAACUCCCAAAUGAAAUGAAGGCAGAGGAUCUAGACAUGACUGAAGCAUUCGGUCUAGCAGUCCGCAGAAAACAAGAUCUGCUCUUAAUUCCCAUUCCUCAUAAUCAAUCGCAUGCUCAGUGAUACUACGCAGAAGAAGCAUUAGAUUGAUGGAUGUUUUUUAUUUGCAUUAAUGCGAACUUUCUGCUAUAUGUAUUGUCUUAAACAUUAUUCUCUAUUUCUACUAUUGUAAUUAAUGCAAUAGAAGUUGCUAAACUAUAACAAAAAUUUCUAGUUCUUCAAUCUUUAUGAAUCAUUGUG
RNAcentral lists this long non-coding RNA (13545 nucleotides) under Vitis vinifera (wine grape). Its description in RNAcentral is "long non-coding RNA (VVIN_LNC003264)". Lineage: Eukaryota; Viridiplantae; Streptophyta; Magnoliopsida; Vitales; Vitaceae. The record is from RNAcentral.